GUGCUAGCCCCCGCGCGGGUGCCCGCGUCCCGGCCCGGAAGAGAGGCGGGACGACGGCGCGUCCUCUCCCCGCAAGAUUACCUCGCAGCGCGUAGCCGGCUUUGUGUUUCCCCUCCCUCCUUCUCGGCAGCCGCCCGGGCUGCAGCAGCCGCCGGAUCCGCCGCUGCGGCCGCCUCUUAAGCGCCGCAGAGCCCCAGAGGGUGUGGAUUCUGCAAUGCUGCACAGAAACCUACUGCAGCCUCAGACCAACAGCAGCAGCAGCAGCGGCGGCGGCGGCAGCAGCAGCAGCAGCAUUAGCAGCAGCAGCUUCUCUCAAUGCUGAGUAACUGUCAUUGUGAAGGGGUCCUUCAGAAGGAUUCAUCAUGUGAAGAAAAAUGGCUACCUAAGUGCAGGGAUUUCAAGGGCAGCAACAGCCUUCUCUGACUAUAUCUCCAAAGUAUCCCUAUUUACAGGCCAAGAAGCCAGUGUGUCCUCUCCUGGCUCUCAUUCCCUUCCUGCUAGUUGAAUACAGAUAAUCAUGAGGCCCAAGACCCUAAGGAACAGUGCAGCCAGGAGUCGGAAGGAGCCUGGGUUUCUGAAUCAUCACAUGGAGGGGAGCUGUCUUCAGCUGGGAGAGCUGUCUUCAGUUGGAUACUGGAUGGAGUCUCACUCUGUCACCCAGGCUGGAGUGCAGUGGUGCAGUUUCGGCUCACUGCAACCUCCGCCUCCCAGGUUCAAGCCAUUCUCCUGCCUCAGCCUCCCGAGUAGCUGGGAUUACAGGAGGAAGAAAGGGAGCUGGUUAGGAAGCAAACUUGAGUUUCCCAUGCUCUGUGGCUGAGCAAGUCACUUCACCAUUCUCAGGAUGGAAGUGGGGAUGGAGGUGGCAUCGGCCUCAUUUGAACCACAUGGACUAAGAGGGGCUAUGGGAGUAUUCCCCAAAGGAAGACUGAGGGGCGUUACUAGAAAAUGGGAGAAUGGAAGCAGAGUGGGCAAAACCAACAGAUGUUCCCUAUAGUAAAUAAAAAAUUUGGACAAUUAUUAGUGAGCAAGUACUUAUAACAUAUAUGGCACAUGGGAUUGUGACUCACCAGUGUGUUAGCACAAUAUGGUCAAAAACCUCUGAUCCAAUUCAACCUACUCAUCUUAACGAUUUUAUCAGCAUUUAAUAAGUUUGUUUUGGCCAUCAUGUGUUAUAGUUUUGUUUGUGGUUUUGACACCUCAUUAGAGGUUUCAUCAGUGUAAGGAGCCAACCUAAGAGCUCUUCUCACAAGUUUCCCAAGAGAGAAAUUGCCCCUCCAAAUGUGAGGAGUCUCACUUUAUAUAGAUAGCAUCCACACUUCUUGCAGUGGAAAACAAACCUUAUAAAAUGUAAUACGUUUGGUUUCCUAACUUUUUCAUGACCCUGGGGUGGUAGAAGGAAGUGCAAGUUUUAUCACUUGGAUUUAGAGACAAGGAAAUUGAAAUGGAGAGAGAAUUGGGCUCACAUGCAGGCAGCAUGUCUAGCUGCCUCCAUCGUGUGAUCUGAGGCACCCCAUGAGGCCUAUGAUUACUGUAAACCUCUAAAAUAAAUAAAAAAUAAAACAAUCUCUGCCACUGA
Molecule: long non-coding RNA, 1576 nt
Filed under: Homo sapiens (human)
Lineage: Eukaryota; Metazoa; Chordata; Mammalia; Primates; Hominidae
Description: HSALNT0359952
Source: RNAcentral